UACGUAGGAGGCGAGCGUUGUCCGGAAUUACUGGGCGUAAAGAGCGCGUAGGUGGCGCGAUACGACCGGUGUGAAAUCCUCCGGCUCAACCGUGGAGGGUCAUUGGAAACUGGGAGACUUGAGUGCAGAAGAGGAAAGUGGAAUUCCAUGUGUAGCGGUGAAAUGCGUAGAGAUAUGGAGGAACACCAGUGGCGAAGGCGACUUUCUGGUCUGUAACUGACACUGAGGCGCGAAAGCGUGGGGAGCAAACAGG
RNAcentral lists this ribosomal RNA (253 nucleotides) under uncultured bacterium. RNAcentral's name for it is "partial 16S ribosomal RNA". It matches the Rfam family "Bacterial small subunit ribosomal RNA", at positions 524 to 776 of the family's 1533-position model. The record is from RNAcentral.